GAUUAACGCUGGCGGCGUGCCUAACACAUGCAAGUCGAGCGAGAAUUGACAGAAUGAAACUUCGGUCGAUUUCAGUCAAGGACAGCGGCGGACGGGUGAGUAACGCGUGGGCAACCUGCCCCUUUCCGGAGGAUAGCCAAGGGAAACUUUGAAUAAUACUCCAUAAAGCAUUUUUACCGCAUGAUAGAGAUGCCAAAGAUUUAUCGGAGAGGGAUGGGCCCGCGUCUGAUUAGCCAGUUGGUGAGGUAGCGGCUCACCAAAGCGACGAUCGGUAGCCGGCCUGAGAGGGUGAACGGCCACAUUGGAACUGAGACACGGUCCAGACUCC
This 328-nucleotide ribosomal RNA is filed under the name uncultured Clostridiaceae bacterium. Its description in RNAcentral is "bacterial SSU rRNA". It matches the Rfam family "Bacterial small subunit ribosomal RNA", at positions 28 to 339 of the family's 1533-position model. Lineage: Bacteria; Bacillati; Bacillota; Clostridia; Eubacteriales; Clostridiaceae. The record is from RNAcentral.